CUCCUCUCAGGACGGAACCUGGAGAGUUUCCAGUACUCUACCAGCCUCACCUACAGGAGGAAGAGUCAAGCAGAGGCCUACCCAUUCCAUUCCUAGCUUGAACAGUGGAUAGCUAGUGGAAGGCAAUCUGCUACAAGU
Small nucleolar RNA from Tachyglossus aculeatus (Australian echidna), 138 nucleotides. Lineage: Eukaryota; Metazoa; Chordata; Mammalia; Monotremata; Tachyglossidae. The record is from RefSeq and is a predicted model, not a curated record.